GGGACGAACGCUGGCGGCGCGCUUAACACAUGCAAGUCGAGCGAGAACCUGGCCUUCGGGCCUGGGGAAAGCGGCGAACGGGUGAGUAACACGUGGGUAACCCACCCUUGGUACCGGGAUAGCCCGAGGAAACUCGGAUUAAUACCGGAUGGCCCAACAGCUCUUCGGGGCGGUUGGAAAAGGUAGCUUCGGCCUCCGACCAAGGACGGGCCCGCGGCGGAUUAGCUUGUUGGUGAGGUAACGGCUCACCAAGGCGACGAUCCGUAGC
This 268-nucleotide ribosomal RNA is filed under the name uncultured bacterium. RNAcentral's name for it is "partial small subunit ribosomal RNA". It matches the Rfam family "Bacterial small subunit ribosomal RNA", at positions 27 to 287 of the family's 1533-position model. The record is from RNAcentral.